RNAcentral lists this non-coding RNA (28 nucleotides) under Homo sapiens (human). The record is from RNAcentral. Lineage: Eukaryota; Metazoa; Chordata; Mammalia; Primates; Hominidae.
UCCCCAAAGAUGUGUCCUCUGAAGAAGC